UAGGGAAUCUUCGGCAAUGGACGAAAGUCUGACCGAGCAACGCCGCGUGAGUGAAGAAGGUUUUCGGAUCGUAAAACUCUGUUGUUAGAGAAGAACAAGGACGUUAGUAACUGAACGUCCCCUGACGGUAUCUAACCAGAAAGCCACGGCUAACUACGUGCCAGCAGCCGCGGUAAUACGUAGGUGGCAAGCGUUGUCCGGAUUUAUUGGGCGUAAAGCGAGCGCAGGCGGUUUCUUAAGUCUGAUGUGAAAGCCCCCGGCUCAACCGGGGAGGGUCAUUGGAAACUGGGAGACUUGAGUGCAGAAGAGGAGAGUGGAAUUCCAUGUGUAGCGGUGAAAUGCGUAGAUAUAUGGAGGAAAACCAGUGGCGAAGGCGGCUCUCUGGUCUGUAACUGACGCUGAGGCUCGAAAGCGUGGGGAGCAAACAGG
Molecule: ribosomal RNA, 429 nt
Filed under: Chloroflexota bacterium
Lineage: Bacteria; Bacillati; Chloroflexota
Also listed under: 1 other name
Description: Chloroflexi bacterium partial 16S ribosomal RNA
Rfam family: Bacterial small subunit ribosomal RNA
Source: RNAcentral